Molecule: ribosomal RNA, 253 nt
Filed under: uncultured bacterium
Lineage: Bacteria
Description: partial 16S ribosomal RNA
Rfam family: Bacterial small subunit ribosomal RNA
Source: RNAcentral
GACAGAGGGUGCAAACGUUGUUCGGAAUUACUGGGCGUAAAGCGCGUGUAGGCGGCUUGGCAAGUCGGGUGUGAAAGCCCUGGGCUCAACCUAGGAAGUGCGCUCGAAACUGCUUCGCUUGAGUGUCGGAGAGGAAAGCGGAAUUCUCGGUGUAGAGGUGAAAUUCGUAGAUAUCGAGAGGAACACCGGUGGCGAAGGCGGCUUUCUGGACGAUAACUGACGCUGAGACGCGAAAGCGUGGGGAGCAAACAGG